RNAcentral lists this ribosomal RNA (113 nucleotides) under Micrococcus luteus. RNAcentral also lists the same sequence under 2 other names. Lineage: Bacteria; Bacillati; Actinomycetota; Actinomycetes; Micrococcales; Micrococcaceae. The record is from RNAcentral.
GCGGUCAUAGCGUGGGGGAAACGCCCGGUUCCAUUCCGAACCCGGAAGCUAAGGCCCACAGCGCCGAUGGUACUGCAACCGGGAGGUUGUGGGAGAGUAGGUCGCCGCCGGAC